Long non-coding RNA from Humulus lupulus (European hop), 1012 nucleotides. RefSeq lists it as uncharacterized. The record is from RefSeq and is a predicted model, not a curated record. The transcript has 2 exons. Lineage: Eukaryota; Viridiplantae; Streptophyta; Magnoliopsida; Rosales; Cannabaceae.
ACAAGGGUAUAAAAUAGGAAGAGACAUUAAACUAAAUCAAUGAUGGUGUAUGAUACAGUACAGUUACAUAUGACCAUAACAAUUAAAAUAGUCAGAGAAGCAUCCAUAAAAAAACUUUAUAAACUGAACCAACGCUAGAAAAUACCACUUUCCACGCACAAGCAUUCCAUUCGCUUUCACAAUCCUUUUGAGCUUGAUAGCCUCAAGCUGAGACAAAGACAAAAGACAAAGACAAUAUAUUAUUACCAAAAUUCUAGCCAAGUGAACAAACACACCACCAACUAACCUUAUCUUUGUUGUACUCUUCCAGAGCAAUUUAUUAAUUUUGAGAAUAAUUAAUUAAUUAAUUAGUAGAACAGAACAGAUGAAACCCAGCUUUGGGGGAAAUAAGAAUGAUAUUAUUGAGGGUGAAGAGUUUCGUAAUGAUAAGAAUAUGGAAAUGGAAGUAAGACAAGUAUGGAAAAGAAGAGGAGUAAGGUGUCCAAAGGGAACCAUACCAGUUCGACGAAUCAACAACAGAACCAUCAACCACCCACUUAGCAGGCCCAUAAGGAAACCAUACUACUUUCAUACUAACAAUGACAAUUUACAAAAUUUAUUAAUACUAAUAAAUUGCAUAUGUCCAUAUUGGGAAAAAAAAUAUUAUAUAUAAAAAAAACAAAUUUCUCUCAUAUUUAUAUAACUUUCAUUGGUAAAAUUAUUUUAUCAUAGCAUCUAUCUUUAUUGUUGGUGACUUUUUUUUGACAAUUUUGCCAACCAUAAUUUUUUUUCCAACCAAUAAUAUAUAUAUUGAGAUAUGUUUAAUAAAUAAAAUUAAUUCAUAUAUGAGAUAGCUAUGAGAUAGCAGCAGAAGAUAGAUUUGACACUUCAAUAUUUAUUUUAUGCUUUGUGUAGAUAAUUGACCAGCCUCACGGGAAACUCUUACUUUUGUUUGCAUAUUUCAAGAGGUGAUGAAGAUAGCGAAACGAGAAUUGGAUGCUUGCAAUUAAUAAGGAGAUAAUAUUGGACAAAU